RNAcentral lists this ribosomal RNA (253 nucleotides) under uncultured bacterium. RNAcentral describes it as "partial 16S ribosomal RNA". It matches the Rfam family "Bacterial small subunit ribosomal RNA", at positions 524 to 776 of the family's 1533-position model. The record is from RNAcentral.
UACGAAGGGGGCUAGCGUUGCUCGGAAUCACUGGGCGUAAAGCGCACGUAGGCGGAUUGUUAAGUCAGGGGUGAAAUCCUGGAGCUCAACUCCAGAACUGCCUUCGAUACUGAGAGUCUCGAGUCCGGGAGAGGUGAGUGGAACUGCGAGUGUAGAGGUGAAAUUCGUAGAUAUUCGCAAGAACACCAGUGGCGAAGGCGGCUCACUGGCCCGGUACUGACGCUGAGGUGCGAAAGCGUGGGGAGCAAACAGG